GACGAACGCUGGCGGCGUGCUUAACACAUGCAAGUCGAGCGGUAAGGCCCUUUCGGGGGUACACGAGCGGCGAACGGGUGAGUAACACGUGGGUGACCUGCCCUCAGCUCUGGGAUAAGCCCGGGAAACUGGGUCUAAUACCGGAUAUGACUCCAUGACGCAUGUUGUGGGGUGGAAAGCCUUGUGCGGCUGAGGAUGGGCCCGCGGCCUAUC
Molecule: ribosomal RNA, 213 nt
Filed under: uncultured bacterium
Lineage: Bacteria
Description: partial 16S ribosomal RNA
Rfam family: Bacterial small subunit ribosomal RNA
Source: RNAcentral